RNAcentral lists this small RNA (76 nucleotides) under Xanthomonas campestris pv. badrii. RNAcentral's name for it is "sX9 sRNA". It matches the Rfam family "Xanthomonas sRNA sX9". The record is from RNAcentral. Lineage: Bacteria; Pseudomonadati; Pseudomonadota; Gammaproteobacteria; Lysobacterales; Lysobacteraceae.
AUGUACGCCUCAUACACUCCGGUCCCUUCGCUCCGUCCGCAUCCGCCCCAGGACUGCUCGCUACGUGCUGUUGGCC